RNAcentral lists this ribosomal RNA (451 nucleotides) under uncultured bacterium. RNAcentral's name for it is "partial 16S ribosomal RNA". It matches the Rfam family "Bacterial small subunit ribosomal RNA", at positions 28 to 507 of the family's 1533-position model. The record is from RNAcentral.
GAUGAACGCUGGCGGCGUGCCUAACACAUGCAAGUCGAGCGGCAGCGAGGGGUGCUUGCACCCUGUCGGCGAGCGGCGGACGGCUGAGUAACGCGUGGGAACGUGCCCCAAAGUGAGGAAUAACUGCCCGAAAGGGUAGCUAAUACCGCAUAUUAUCUUCGGAUCAAAGGAUUUAUCCGCUUUGGGAGCGGCUCGCGUCGGAUUAGGUAGUUGGUGAGGUAAUGGCUCACCAAGCCGACGAUCCGUAGCUGGUCUGAGAGGAUGACCAGCCAGACUGGAACUGAGACACGGUCCAGACUCCUACGGGAGGCAGCAGUGAGGAAUCUUCCACAAUGGGCGAAAGCCUGAUGGAGCAACGCCGCGUGCAGGGCGAAGGCCUUCGGGUUGUAAACUGCUUUUAUAAGUGAGGAAUAUGACGGUAACUUAUGAAUAAGGAUCGGCUAACUACGUG